CCAUGCAAGCGGGUUGCAGUGUAGUAUCCUGCUGCCCAGAAGGAAGAAGUAGGAGGCAAUCAGCCCUGAAAGGAAAGCAGUUUGUCUCUGCAGAGGAGAGAAUUCAUGCCCCUGUAUUUUUCAGUGGGACACCUUGUAUUUUACGUGCUGUUCUCACUCCCCCAUGUAGGCUGUGCAUUCUGAGAGUGGUGUUACCUUUGCAGAUGCUGACUAGAAUGAAGACCAUAAUUCUGCUUUGCCUUUAUGCAGGAAAACAAGUUAUUAUGAUUGAAGAUUGAAGCAGUCAUUCACAAAAAAACUCAUUCACCUUCUUAUAAGUGUAGUAUUUUGCAAUAAACACAAGAUCUACUAAAAAAAAAAAAUCAUCAUUAAUGAAGAAUUGCAGCUUUUACUAAUGGAAAAAAGAAAACUAUAGUCAUCUGAUGAAAACCACCUCUCAUGGAAAGCUGAUUUAUGAUCAUUUUGAAGAGUCCAAGAGAAAAAAUGCAAAAUAGUAGGACAAGAAAUCCUAAAAUGUUUUCAUGAUGGAAUUUUUUAAAGCCAGUUUUGCCACAAGAACAGGAUAUGACUGUCUCCAAAAUAAAGCUUUUUGAUAUUGUCAGAGU
Columba livia (rock pigeon) is the source of this 605-nucleotide long non-coding RNA. RefSeq lists it as uncharacterized. The transcript is spliced from 3 exons. The record is from RefSeq and is a predicted model, not a curated record. Lineage: Eukaryota; Metazoa; Chordata; Aves; Columbiformes; Columbidae.